Molecule: non-coding RNA, 91 nt
Organism: Lysinibacillus sp. BF-4
Lineage: Bacteria; Bacillati; Bacillota; Bacilli; Caryophanales; Bacillaceae
Source: Rfam
AUGAAUGUACGGGGAGAGAGCGCGAAGUAGCGCCGCCGAAGGAGCAAGUAAGUUUUACGAAUCUCUCAGGCAAAAGGACUCGUACGCGACG